UGGCCUACGGGGGGCAGCAGUGAGGAAUAUUGGUCAAUGGGCUUACGCCUGAACCAGCCAAGUCGCGUGAGGGAAGACUGCCCUAUGGGUUGUAAACCUCUUUUGUCAGGGAGCAACGCCGGCUACGUGUAGCCGGACUGAGAGUACCUGAAGAAAAAGCAUCGGCUAACUCCGUGCCAGCAGCCGCGGUAAUACGUAGGUGGCAAGCGUUAUCCGGAUUUAUUGGGCGUAAAGCGAGCGCAGGCGGUUGCUUAGGUCUGAUGUGAAAGCCUUCCGCUUAACCG
This 284-nucleotide ribosomal RNA is filed under the name uncultured bacterium. RNAcentral's name for it is "partial 16S ribosomal RNA". It matches the Rfam family "Bacterial small subunit ribosomal RNA", at positions 335 to 615 of the family's 1533-position model. The record is from RNAcentral.